AAUAGAUACCCCGGUAGUCCACGCCGUAAACGAUGAGUGCUAAGUGUUAGAGGGCUUCCACCCUUUAGUGCUGCAGCUAACGCAUUAAGCACUCCGCCUAGGGAGUACGGCCGCAAGGCUGAAACUCAAAGGAAUUGACGGGGGCCCGCACAAGCGGUGGAGCAUGUGGUUUAAUUCGAAGCAACGCGAAGAACCUUACCAGGUCUUGACAUCCUUCGCUACCUCUAGAGAUAGAGGGUUCCCCUUCGGGGGACGGAGUGACAGGUGGUGCAUGGUUGUCGUCAGCUCGUGUCGUGAGAUGUUGGGUUAAGUCCCGCAACGAGCGCAACCCUUGACCUUAGUUGCCAGCAUUCAGUUGGGCACUCUAAGGUGACUGCCGGUGACAAACCGGAGGAAGGUGGGGAUGACGUCAAAUCAUCAUGCCCCUUAUGACCUGGGCUACACACGUGCUACAAUGGAUGGUACAAAGGGUCGCGAAACCGCGAGGUGGAGCUAAUCCCAAAAAACCAUUCUCAGUUCGGAUUGCAGGCUGC
This 533-nucleotide ribosomal RNA is filed under the name uncultured bacterium. Its description in RNAcentral is "bacterial SSU rRNA". It matches the Rfam family "Bacterial small subunit ribosomal RNA", at positions 777 to 1308 of the family's 1533-position model. The record is from RNAcentral.